ACCUUUUCCCAAAUUUCUCAGUUCUUUUCUCCAACUAAACAAUGAAGAAUAAGCGGAUAUUUAUAAGGGGAGAUUUAGAGUAGAAAAAGGGGGAACCCGAUUAAAUUUUGAAUUUCAAAUUCGAAUUCUCUUCAAAGGAUUAGGUUGCCAGCUCGAAAAAUUGUACACCUCUCCAACAAACUGAUAAUCCCAGUCAUUCGAUUUCUAAAGAGAGGACAAAGGCGAUGGGAGAUCUCGACACCUGGAUUCCGUGCAAAAGGAUAAGGAGAUGGGAGGGGACGAUGCGCUAGGCUGCUCUACUCACACUCUGGUUUGCGUCUAGAGUUGGACGCGAUUUUGCUAGUUUUGCGUUUGUAGUUCACGCGGAGAAUAAGAUGA
RNAcentral lists this unclassified non-coding RNA (378 nucleotides) under Hevea brasiliensis (rubber tree). Lineage: Eukaryota; Viridiplantae; Streptophyta; Magnoliopsida; Malpighiales; Euphorbiaceae. The record is from RNAcentral.